Mesocricetus auratus (golden hamster) is the source of this 881-nucleotide long non-coding RNA. RefSeq lists it as uncharacterized. The transcript has 3 exons. The record is from RefSeq and is a predicted model, not a curated record. NCBI's taxonomy places the organism in Eukaryota, Metazoa, Chordata, Mammalia, Rodentia, Cricetidae.
GGCACUGCUGGCUGGUCCACGUUUCCAUGCCGUGCUGGAAAAUAUUGCUGGUAUAAAAUAACUGGGAAGUGGGGUUGUUUCAUUUUGUCUAUUUUUUAAUUGUUUUCUUUCUUUCGGAGAUACUUGUCAUGAGCGUAAGGCAACAUACUGCCGCCUGUGAGAGUCUGAGGAAAUGUUCCAGGAUGCCUGGGCACUGAUGAAAAAUGUGAUUUGCCCCACUCCCGGAGUCAUCUUGGGCAGCCCAUCUUCUUGCACUGGGGACAACUUCGAUUGAUAUGGAUAUAUUCAAGCCCUGCCAGAAAGCACUUCACUGAUGUCAACCAGAGAGGAAGAGUCCAUAAUGGACAGGAAGGCAUCAGGUAGCCACAACAGGAAGCCGAGAGACCGUGUCUUCAACUGCAAUCACAAAGCAGAGAAACUAACCUGGAAGUGGAGUCAAGCUGCCCAUGUUCUCAAAGUCCACCCCCAGUGACAGCCUUCCUCCAGCAAGGCUCCACCCUCUAAAGGUGCCACAACUUCCCCAACAGCGCCACCUACAGGGGAAUCAAGAGUUGAAACUCGUGAGCCUGUGGGGGAUGCUUUGCAUUCAAACCGACACAGUUGCUCUCUCCCUUGUUUACUAAGACUUAGUGUGGAAGGUCCAUCUAAUUCUCCAAAAGAUGAGAAACAUGCAAACCACUUUACAGCUGCUCACCAUGGACACUGCGCCUUCUUUAUUUGCUAACAAAAGAAAAAGGAAAAAAAAAAGCUUGGGAAAUGUGGUUCUUGGUCUCUUAACAUAUCUAAAUAUUUCAAGUGUGAAAUUUUAAUAGGCAAAUAGCUUUAACAUAACUCAUCUUGUAUUUGUGUACUUAAAACAAUGAGUUUAUGCUGGUCCCAAA